AAAAACCAAAGACCAAGACUUCUUAUAGAAAAAAGCUAUCCGUGCGACAGAGCGGAGUUACCAUUCGGGGGAAAAGAAUUAUUAAUUCUAUUUUUUUAAAUAAAAAAAACAAAUACCCAGGAGUUUUAUUUUUCUUUUAUUGAGCAAUCAACUUUCCAACACAAAUUUUUAGUUCAAAACUUGAUGCAGGCAAGAAACGACUUGCUUUAUAACGUGAGAAGCUCAUUCAGAUGUCAUUACUUCAUACCCAAAGCAAAUAAGCUCUUAAACAGAUUUUCUGCACUGCUGCACCUCCAUAAGCACAUUACAACUUGUAGAUAUAUUAUAAU
RNAcentral lists this unclassified non-coding RNA (329 nucleotides) under Hevea brasiliensis (rubber tree). The record is from RNAcentral. Lineage: Eukaryota; Viridiplantae; Streptophyta; Magnoliopsida; Malpighiales; Euphorbiaceae.